GCUGCCCCCGCACAACUUCCCGCUGGGAUUUAACGCCGGGAGCCGCCGCAGCCUCCGCCAGCCCAGAUGAUGAAGCCAGUCAGCCAACUGCUCAGCCACCAGCCACUGUUGUAGUUAUCUGCAAUGGGGACAACAGAAAUAAGACAAAAUGGAGGAAUGUUCUCACUCAUCCUUUUGGAGGAAAGUGCUGCUCUAAGCUCUAGCAGACCAUCUGUAUCUUGCCCUAUGCUGUUGGUUCCUGCCUAAUAAGCAGUGGGAUAAGUGAUGACUUGCCAAGUGAGGGAAUUCAGCAGAGCAUAUCUAUCAGCUUGGAGAAAACACAGGUUUCUUCCAUGAUGCCCAGCUUGUUCCAUUCCUGGGCAUCUAGCGCCAUGGUGACCAUGUCCUCUGAUGAUCAGCUCCUUGUUUUGAGACUUUCUCAUGCCCUCCAUCCCUUCCAUGUCUCCCCUCCUAAAUAAAUGCCCUGUACUCAACACCCAGCCAUAGCCCUAACACAGUGUGUACUGUCAUUGCAUUGUUUGCU
Molecule: long non-coding RNA, 523 nt
Filed under: Crocodylus porosus (Australian saltwater crocodile)
Lineage: Eukaryota; Metazoa; Chordata; Crocodylia; Crocodylidae
Description: lncRNA (ENSCPRG00005001152.1)
Source: RNAcentral